GGGCAAACUAAAUAUAAACAAAUUUAGACGCCUUGCGUAGCUACAACGUGUAAGUGAAGACAGCCAUGCAUGAAUACCCACCCACCUCCCCAGGGGUCGUAACCCCUGCAACCCAUAGAAGAUAAAGAUGCUUCAGUAGCUGAUUAGUGUUUUUUGUCUUUAAAAAAAAAAAAAAAAAUCUCACGGGAUAGAACGAA
Molecule: long non-coding RNA, 197 nt
Organism: Schistocerca nitens (vagrant locust)
Lineage: Eukaryota; Metazoa; Arthropoda; Insecta; Orthoptera; Acrididae
Exons: 2
Source: RefSeq, a predicted model, not a curated record